AGUCGAGCGAACGGACGAGAAGCUUGCUUCUCUGAUGUUAGCGGCGGACGGGUGAGUAACACGUGGAUAACCUACCUAUAAGACUGGGAUAACUUCGGGAAACCGGAGCUAAUACCGGAUAAUAUUUUGAACCGCAUGGUUCAAAAGUGAAAGACGGUCUUGCUGUCACUUAUAGAUGGAUCCGCGCUGCAUUAGCUAGUUGGUAAGGUAACGGCUUACCAAGGCAACGAUGCAUAGCCGACCUGAGAGGGUGAUCGGCCACACUGGAACUGAGACACGGUCCAGACUCCUACGGGAGGCAGCAGUAGGGAAUCUUCCGCAAUGGGCGAAAGCCUGACGGAGCAACGGCCGCGUGAGUGAUGAAGGUCUUCGGAUCGUAAACUCUGUUAUUAGGGAAGAACAUAUGUGUAAGUAACUGUGCACAUCUUGACGGUACCUAAUCAGAAAGCCACGGCUAACUACGUGCCAGCAGCCGCGGUAAUACGUAGGUGGCAAGCGUUAUCCGGAAUUAUUGGGCGUAAAGCGCGCGUAGGCGGUUUUUUAAGUCUGAUGUGAAAGCCCACGGCUCAACCGUGGAGGGUCAUUGGAAACUGGAAAACUUGAGUGCAGAAGAGGAAAGUGGAAUUCCAUGUGUAGCGGUGAAAUGCGCAGAGAUAUGGAGGAACACCAGUGGCGAAGGCGACUUUCUGGUCUGUAACUGACGCUGAUGUGCGAAAGCGUGGGGAUCAAAC
RNAcentral lists this ribosomal RNA (731 nucleotides) under uncultured Staphylococcus sp. Its description in RNAcentral is "bacterial SSU rRNA". It matches the Rfam family "Bacterial small subunit ribosomal RNA", at positions 60 to 773 of the family's 1533-position model. The record is from RNAcentral. Lineage: Bacteria; Bacillati; Bacillota; Bacilli; Caryophanales; Staphylococcaceae.